UGGGGGAUCGUCUAACGGUAGGACACGGGACUCUGGAUCCCGGAGUAUAGGUUCGAAUCCUAUUCCCCCAG
RNAcentral lists this transfer RNA (71 nucleotides) under Bacillota bacterium. RNAcentral describes it as "tRNA-Gln". It matches the Rfam family "tRNA". Rfam says of the family: Transfer RNA (tRNA) molecules are approximately 80 nucleotides in length. Their secondary structure includes four short double-helical elements and three loops (D, anti-codon, and T loops). The record is from RNAcentral. RNAcentral also lists the same sequence under 1 other name. Lineage: Bacteria; Bacillati; Bacillota.